GGUUCCUACCAACAGAGUGCUGACUGUGAGCAGGGCACUGUGUGGACACUUUACAAGCAUUUUGCUGUUUAAUAUUCACAUCAAUGCUAGGAGUUAUGUCCGUUUUACAGACAAAGAAACUGAGAGGAAGAGGUCCAUGGCUAAUAAAUCAUAGAGCUGGGAUUUCUGUCUGACUUCUCUGCUUUGCCCAGGAAGAAGGGGCAAAGUCUACCCCAGGGGCAGAUGACCCAAUAAGCAAGGGUUCUGCUUCUAGGUAUGGCUGGCAUCUGUCUCUCUCCCAGCCCCACAACACCAUCCUACAGAUUCAAAGCCUCUUUUCAAAUACAAUACCUGACAGGGAUAGAGUACCCAGUAAGCCAAGCAUGACAACCAGCAACGUUCCAGAGACUGGCUGCUCCAUCAUUCCAGGUCCAGAAGGGAAAACAAGGAGCAGGACUGUAGCUGACCCAUGAUGGACAUGUAGCGUGAGCAAGAAGUUCUCCCUCAUGGAAGGCAAGAAUUCUACCGCUGAACCACCACUGCCCCCUACUGUGAA
Long non-coding RNA from Trichechus manatus latirostris (Florida manatee), 535 nucleotides. RefSeq lists it as uncharacterized. The transcript has 4 exons. The record is from RefSeq and is a predicted model, not a curated record. NCBI's taxonomy places the organism in Eukaryota, Metazoa, Chordata, Mammalia, Sirenia, Trichechidae.